CGAGCCCGGCACGUGGAAGAGCC
Molecule: microRNA, 23 nt
Filed under: Bos taurus (domestic cattle)
Lineage: Eukaryota; Metazoa; Chordata; Mammalia; Artiodactyla; Bovidae
Description: bta-miR-2373-3p
Source: miRBase by way of RNAcentral